AGCAGCCGCGGUAAUUCCAGCUCCAAUAGCGUAUAUUAAAGUUGUUGCAGUUAAAAAGCUCGUAGUUGAAUUUCGGGAUUCUACCGUCGGUCGGGCUAACAAGUCUGUACUGGUGUGUAGAAUUUCUACCUUCUGGGGAACCAUCAUGUUAUUAAUUUAGCGUGGUGGGAAACCAGGACCUUUACCUUGAAAAAAUUAGAGUGUUCAAAGCAGGCUUACGUCUGAAUACAUUAGCAUGGAAUAAUAGAAUAGGACGGUGGUCCUGUUUUGUUGGUUUCUGAAUCACCGUAAUGAUUAAUAGGGAUAGUUGGGGGCAUUAGUAUUCAAUUGUCAGAGGUGAAAUUCUUGGAUUUAUUGAAGACUAACUUCUGCGAAAGCAUUUGCCAAGGAUGUUUUCAUUAAUCAAGAACGAAAGUUAGGGGAUCGAAGACGAUCAGAUACCGUCGUAGUCUUAACCAUAAACUAUGCCGACUAGGGAUCGGACGAUGUUAACCUUUAUUGACUCGUUCGGCGUCCUACG
RNAcentral lists this ribosomal RNA (520 nucleotides) under uncultured Glomeromycotina. RNAcentral describes it as "SSU rRNA". It matches the Rfam family "Eukaryotic small subunit ribosomal RNA", at positions 569 to 1092 of the family's 1831-position model. The record is from RNAcentral. Lineage: Eukaryota; Fungi; Glomeromycota.